Macaca fascicularis (crab-eating macaque) is the source of this 4617-nucleotide long non-coding RNA. NCBI's taxonomy places the organism in Eukaryota, Metazoa, Chordata, Mammalia, Primates, Cercopithecidae. The record is from Ensembl.
AAACCAGGCAAUAUUAUUUCUUAUCUAUGCAAAUGGAAUAGUAGUUUCCACUUUUGUCUAGGUCUCCUCAAGACUUAAUCUGUCGGGAAUUUUAUGUGCCCAUGGUCGGCUUCAUCUGUCUUCCAGACAGAGUGAUAAAAAGUGGAAUCACAGCUAAUGGAGUCCCAUGCAGUGUGCUGCCAAUCUCUAGCAUCUUUGGAAGUUACAUCUAUCAGCGUGGAAUUCUCACCUGAGGCCUGCUCGUUCAACAAACGUCGUCUGAGGGCCUGCUAUGUGACUGGAAAUGUGCUAAGCAUUAGGUAUGCCACUUAAAUCAAAAUUGUUAUUUAUUAUUAAUGUUUGUCCACUGCUAAUUAAUUUUAUUUUCCCAUGAACAGAUUUUUCCAUGAAAUCUAACAAUCACAGGGAAUCAAGUCUGUUAGAAAAGUUUGGAACUAAGAAAUAGAUGAUUACACUUGGUAUCAAACAUGAGUUAAUGAUUGGAAUUCAAUGAAACUGAUUUUUCCAAUGAGGCUGGUAAAUUUGAUCUAAAGUGAGUUCCAGACUAAGGGAAAAGUAAUAUUUAUUGAACACUUAAUAUGUUCCAAAAAUUAUAUUUUCCAAACACCACUUUAGGGAACUAUCUCAAAAGCCCAUCAUCUGUACUUGCCAGUGAGAUUCAGUGAUUGUUACAGAUCAGUUUGCUAGGAGUUGGCAGUGGCAGAUACAAUCUCACAUCACUCUGAUGUCAAAGUCAAAGACCAUGUUCUUUCAGUUACAACGGUAACAUAUCCCUGGGAGUUUCAAACAUUUUAUGGGCAAAGGCAAUAAAAUUGAAAUAUUUACAUAGCUUCCUGGGGGAACCACUUAGAAAUAAGAAAACACAAGUAUACAUAUGUAACAAACCUGCACGUUAUGCACAUGUACCCUAGAACUUAAAGUAUAAAAAAAAAAAAAGAAAUAAGAAAACACAGGGGAUCAGUAAGUUUUGAGUUGUUUAUCAAAGAACAUCAUUCUUUUUGAUAAGUGUACCUUGUACCUCCAUGCAAGAAGAAGAGCAAUUUCCAUUCCAACAAAAGACAGCAAAUUCCAGCUGAAGGAUGACGAGAUGAGAUUUACAAUGGAUUACCCGAUGAAAAUCACUAGACAGUAACUCCAAGAUGAUGGGAUUACAAACUUUAAAGCACUUCAAACCUAUAAUUGUUUGCCACAUUUGUGAUCUAACUUGAGGGUACCUAAUCCCUAUUUGUUGUAAUACAGAGAAUUUCCCAGCACUAAAACAAAAAUCUCCAAAUAGGUAAUAUGUUUCUUUGUUCUUCCAUAACAUUGUCAUCACCAAAACCCAAUCAGACAGCCCUGACACCAUGUCCUCUUCUUAGAAUCAAAUUGGGGAGAUAAUAGCAAAAACCAUCAUUUAUUACAAAUUCACUAUGUACAUUGUUAUACUUCAUGCUCUUAAUGUAGCUAAGAAGUGGACAUUAUUAUUAUAAUACCUCUUUUAUAGCUGAGGUUUACAGAAUGUAAGGAUUUUUCAUACAACACAUAGUUGUAAGCAAUGAAUGCAGGAUUUGAACCCAGUGGUAUUCAACCACAAAUCUUCAUUUUUUAACUAUUAUACUAUAAGUUUAUCAUCACUGCAAGAAAAGUAAAAAUAAUUUUUAAAGCAUAAAAAAUAAAAAUAAAGGUUAUAAAUAUCAAUUUAGUACCACAGUACAAAAAGAAAAUGGGUUACACAGUACCAAAUAUGUGGGAGAGUAAUGAGGGCCCUUGGAUUUUGAAAGUCUGAGUCAGACUCCACAGAAAAUGGUAAAGCGUUCUUGAGAAGACUUUUUCUGUCUUAAACUGAAAUAAUAAUUUAUCACUCAACAGUUUUCGCUCUUUGGUUUGUAGAUAAAAUUUUUGUUAUGAAUUAAAUAAUAUUAUAAUUGUUAUUUCAAUAAAUAGCAAGUUAUAGAAGCUUGAGUGCUGGCCUUUCUUAGCACAAUGUCCUGCCGUUAACCUACCAAUUGUCCUCUUCAGCCCCACUUUUUUCUUCUUGAUUCAACACUGGCCCAGAUAAUGGAAUCAGCAAUUCAAAAAGGCUCAGCCACACUUAGGGAGUUCUCCUGGGUGCCAAGUAUUGUCCAAAAUGCCUCACAAACAUCCCAGUGAGUUCUCUUGGUGUUCCAUUAUCUAUAUUUUCCAAAUAAGAUAUAUAAAGGAAAAAUACCUGUGUAGCCCUUUGAAAAUUAAGAAAAAGUUUCUUCCCAAGGUGGAUUCGUGAGAUUUCUUUUUCUGAAAUCUCCUGAAUCCACCUUUCUUCUUGUCUUAGAAAUGAGCUGGAUAUGACUCAUUUAUGGUGCCAGAGAGAGAAAAUAUACUCACUUCUCAGAUUCUUACGUGAGGCAGUUGCCCUUCUGCCCACCCACUUCAUUUUCUAGGGAAAGACUUGAUCAUCCUCUUUCCUUGGUUCAGCAGUGGACAGUCCACAUACUGGUUUGAGACAAAGCAAUGAACAAUCUUGCCAUGUCUUGUUUUUCUCAUUUCAAUUCUCCCUGGAAGAAUGGGAUUGUAGUUAUGGUAAACCAUAUAUUGCUUUUCUGCUUUUGUGAGUUUCAGUAAAGUCUUCCUUUGAGUUUCUUGGAGGUAGAGACUAUAUCUUAUUGAUUUUUAUUCCUCUAGCUCCUAAUUUAAUAUCUGGUACAUUAUCUAUACACCAUAAAUAUGAUAUGAAUUUGAUUCCAUAAAAAGUCACUUACGUGAUUUGGAUGUUUAAAAUUAUUCAACAUGGGCAAGGGCAUUCAUUUUAUAUGAAAAGUAAGGCUUAAAGAAAAUCAUUAUCACAAAAGUCAGGGGAUCUGUUACCUUUAAGGUGAAGGAACAAUCUCCCAAAGGCAAAAGACACACAGGAGCUUUUUGAAGUGCUGUCAAUAUUUUAUUUCUUGAUUUGCAUGGUAGGUACCCAAAUGCUCAGCUGCUAAUUAUUAUUUACAUUUUUAUAAGCACUUUUCUGUAUGCUUUAUAGAUUUUAUGAAAUACAUCAUACAUGUAUAAAAUAGAUUAAGCAAACAGAGAUGUGUUUGCACAAUUUAAGGGAAAUUAUAAUCCAAACACUGUGUAAUCACCAAACCACAUGUGUUACUACCAAGCUAAAAUGAAAAAGAAAAAACUAAAGGUGACUUAAAUUAAAAUGUCCCUAGACAAAGUAAUUAUCCGACUUAACUUCCAAUGUCUGUGCACAUGAUACUUCCUAGUGAGGACAAGAAAGGGGAGUGGCAUAGCAACUAUGGAAAAAGAGUGUGUCAAUAAUGGGAUUGAAGGACAAGAGGAAAUAGUUCUUGGUUCAUAGAUUUGGGCAGCAAAUAUUCUAUGUGAGUGAUGAAGAGAUACGUACUCCACUCGGAAGGAUGGCUCCUUUCUCUUCAGAAGGGAUAAAAGAUGAAUGGAAGUCAGACUAGGGAGGGGAGGGUGUUAGAUGGUGGUGGUUUUGGUAAACCUGAUAAUUUUGGGUGAAAAAUCAGAUCUCCCAGAUUAAGAUUAUGAUGCUCUAAUAACACUGUAAUAUUACUUAAAGGAAAAGAUGGGGACCUAAGUCUUGGCAAGUGUCACACAAAAAUUAUUGAUAUAUUGAUCAUCUUAAAAGGUUACUAUGUUUAUAAAUCGUAACUGUGAUGGAGCCACAGAUUGGUGGGCAGCUCAUUGGUAUUACAAACUGACAUCGAUGAACUAUGGUGGCUUGACAUUUGUUCCUUUGUUCUUCUCUAUGAGUUAACUUAUGUGACAGGCUGUGUUUUCAAAGGUCUGAGCUUUAGAAUGAAUCAGAGUAAACAACUGCCCUGCAGUAAUAAAAUGCCUACACCUAUUUGCUGAAUGAAUCCUUCUUGGAAGGAGACAGUUCUGAAUGGAAUGGCUCUGUACUUCGAAAUCUAAUAAUUAAGCACUUUUUCACCAGUGGAUCAAGACCCAUGGUUAUAGGUAUUAUUAUCUCCUAUAUAGAAUAUGUUCCAUUUUGCCAUGCUUAAAUUCCUAAGACCAAUGGAAUGGAAACAUAGAAUUAACCCGAUUGAAGCAGAAAGCAUUCUGGAGUAAAAAAUCUCUCAUUCUCCUGGUCUGUCUUAAUGGGAAAUCAAAUGUGAUUUGUGUUGUGUGGAGAUGAUUACUGAUGGGUAAUUAUUCUAAAAUAUCUCUUUUCAAAUCCUUUAUAUGGCAAUCAAGGAAGAAUGUGAGAGGUUAGGCAUUACAUUAGCAGGGCUAUCAGUAACAUAUAAUUUCUUAAUUAUGCAUAAAAAUGAAUAGCAAUACCUACUCAAGGAGUUCUUAAAUUUCCUUUGUGAAGUCUGGAGGACACAUGGGCCUCCGAGACUUAUUAAAGAAUAUGUGGUUAAAAAGACAGAAGCAAAGAUUCUUCUUUCUGAUAAUUGUGUGACUGAACCUCAGUUUUCUCAUCUCUAAAAUAGGAAUAAUGAUACUUUUUACUCGGGGUUGUUAUGUGAAUUGAGUUAUGUAAUGUCACAAGCUGUUUAUUUUUGUGCCUAGCAUAUAAUACAAGACACUCAACAAAUGAGAGCCCUUAUUAUGGCUGUUAUUAUUAGUAGUAGUGUUACUAUUACUACCUCUUGUACUAUUACUUUUGGCCAAGGCUUACCUAAUUCAGGUAGA